RNAcentral lists this ribosomal RNA (429 nucleotides) under Acidobacteriota bacterium. RNAcentral describes it as "Acidobacteria bacterium partial 16S ribosomal RNA". It matches the Rfam family "Bacterial small subunit ribosomal RNA", at positions 355 to 776 of the family's 1533-position model. The record is from RNAcentral. Lineage: Bacteria; Pseudomonadati; Acidobacteriota.
UGGGGAAUUUUGGACAAUGGGGGAAACCCUGAUCCAGCCAUCCCGCGUGUGCGAUGAAGGCCUUCGGGUUGUAAAGCACUUUUGGCAGGAAAGAAACGUCAUGGGUUAAUACCCCGUGAAACUGACGUUACCUGCAGAAUAAGCACCGGCUAACUACGUGCCAGCAGCCGCGGUAAUACGUAGGGUGCAAGCGUUAAUCGGAAUUACUGGGCGUAAAGCGUGCGCAGGCGGUUCGGAAAGAAAGAUGUGAAAUCCCAGAGCUCAACUUUGGAACUGAAUUUUUAACUACCGGGCUAGAGUGUGUCAGAGGGAGGUGGAAUUCCGCGUGUAGCAGUGAAAUGCGUAGAUAUGCGGAGGAACACCGAUGGCGAAGGCAGCCUCCUGGGAUAACACUGACGCUCAUGCACGAAAGCGUGGGGAGCAAACAGG